This 911-nucleotide unclassified non-coding RNA is filed under the name Hevea brasiliensis (rubber tree). Lineage: Eukaryota; Viridiplantae; Streptophyta; Magnoliopsida; Malpighiales; Euphorbiaceae. The record is from RNAcentral.
UAAAGAAACAAGACAUUUGAAUAUUAAUACAAUAAAAAUUGAGUGGAGGGCAAACAAACAAUGAAAAAAAAAACAAAUAUUGGUAUCUCUAAAGAAUACAAACCCAACAAAUAUAUUUCCUUUGCCCUUCCCAUGGAUGGAUUUUACAGAUUUGAAUUUCAAAAAUGAAAUAAAUUAAUGAAAGAUUUUACACAGGGGCAGGGAAGAAGAAAAGAAUAUAGGGAAAAAAGAAAAAGAAGAAAGAAAGAAAGAUUAACUUUACAACCCUCAUAUCCUUGACCAGAGAGAUUGAUUGCUGCCUACUUCAAACAAAAAAGAUGAGAAGCUUGAGCUUCCUUAGCCUCACUCUUGUAAAAACUGGAAGGCUGGAUUCCCAAGUAGUUCCUCCGCUGGUUGAACACCCAUAAAAUCUCUCUCUUGCAGUGAAUUUGAAAGGUCAUCAAUAGAGAAUGGGAUGCCAGAAUUGUCAUCCAACAAAAAGGAACUGCUGCCAGCAUCAUUGGAGUCUUCUGUCAUAAGCACCCUCAUGCUGGAAAUGACACCAGGAGACACACUUCGAGUGUUGUAGUUGUCAUCCCAGUACAAUGUACAGAUUCGGUACAGCUGCUGCACACUCAGGAUAGGGCACAGAUCAUUAGUGAUUUCAUCAUAGGAUAUUCUAUACUUCUGAUGUAUAACCAAAAACCCGACAGCCUGUCUUAUGUGCUUUAGCUCAUCCCAAGAUGCGCCAGCAUACUCCUCUUUUGCUUGACAACACCAUAGCUCUAGCUCAGCUAAUCCAGCUUUCACAUAUUCACCAUUGCUAAAUGUACAACACUCUCGUCGCAAGAGAAGACUAUUGAAUAAUUGUACAUUGAUGUAUGAGAAAGUUUGAGUAAAGAUCUUCUGGAUGAGAACUGGGGGCACAAAAU